Molecule: ribosomal RNA, 447 nt
Filed under: uncultured bacterium
Lineage: Bacteria
Description: SSU rRNA
Rfam family: Bacterial small subunit ribosomal RNA
Source: RNAcentral
AGAGCGAACGCUGGCGGCAGGCUUAACACAUGCAAGUCGAGCGGGCGUAGCAAUGCGUCAGCGGCAGACGGGUGAGUAACGCGUGGGAACGUACCUUUUGGUUCGGAACAACCCAGGGAAACUUGGGCUAAUACCGGAUAAGCCCUUACGGGGAAAGAUUUAUCGCCGAAAGAUCGGCCCGCGUCUGAUUAGCUAGUUGGUGAGGUAAUGGCUCACCAAGGCGACGAUCAGUAGCUGGUCUGAGAGGAUGAUCAGCCACAUUGGGACUGAGACACGGCCCAAACUCCUACGGGAGGCAGCAGUGGGGAAUAUUGGACAAUGGGCGCAAGCCUGAUCCAGCCAUGCCGCGUGAGUGAUGAAGGCCCUAGGGUUGUAAAGCUCUUUUGUGCGGGAAGAUAAUGACGGUACCGCAAGAAUAAGCCCCGGCUAACUCGCGCCAGCAGCCGC